GUCGAGCGCUACCUUCGGGUGGAGCGGCGGACGGGUUAGUAACGCGUGGGAAUAUACCCUUCACUAUGGAAUAGCCUCGGGAAACUGAGAGUAAUACCAUAUACGCCCUUCGGGGGAAAGAUUUAUCGGUGAAGGAUUAGCCCGCGUAAGAUUAGAUAGUUGGUGGGGUAAUGGCCUACCAAGUCUACGAUCUUUAGCUGGUUUUAGAGGAUGAUCAGCAACACUGGGACUGAGACACGGCCCAGACUCCUACGGGAGGCAGCAGUGGGGAAUCUUAGACAAUGGGCGAAAGCCUGAUCUAGCCAUGCCGCGUGAGUGAUGAAGGUCUUAGGAUCGUAAAGCUCUUUCGCUAGGGAUGAUAAUGACAGUACCUAGUAAAGAAGCCCCGGCUAACUCCGUGCCAGCAGCCGCGGUAAUACGGAGGGGGCUAGCGUUGUUCGGAAUUACUGGGCGUAAAGCGU
This 461-nucleotide ribosomal RNA is filed under the name uncultured Alphaproteobacteria bacterium. RNAcentral's name for it is "bacterial SSU rRNA". It matches the Rfam family "Bacterial small subunit ribosomal RNA", at positions 61 to 568 of the family's 1533-position model. The record is from RNAcentral. Lineage: Bacteria; Pseudomonadati; Pseudomonadota; Alphaproteobacteria.